AUAAAUAAUAUAUUAUAAUAUAGUGUAACAUAUUUUUUUACUUUUUGUGAAUCAUUUGAUUAAUUGAUUAUGUCAAAACAACUCAGUGGUUUCGCCAAAAGAAAAUUGAAAUUGAAGAAAGAGGAAGAAAUAAAAAAAUUGAAAGGAUCCUUAGAUAUGUUUAUUUUUAAAAAGAAUCAAGAAAAUAAUAUUUAGAUCAAAUCAGUGAACUCUAUAGAUGUGGUUGAAAUUAAUGUUGAAAAUGUAACAAAUAAUGAUAGUGUUGAUGGUAAUGAUGACGUUGAUGUAGAAAAAAUGUAUAGUAUUAAUCCUGUGAUAGCUGCUUCUUCUUCAAUUGAACAUAUUGAUGAUGAGUUGGAUUUAAAUUUAAACAAUGAAUAUCCAACGGACCGUGGACACUUUAGAGUGGAUAGAGUCUCUGAUAAGAUCAAACGGAGUAUUCUAUUGUAUGGACCAUGCAAGCCAAAUGUUCAGUUUCCUGAAAAUAAUAAACACAGAAAAUUUUCUUCGGAAUAUUAUUAUACAAUGUCUAAGUCUGGUAAUAAAAUCCCUCGUAAUUGGCUUUGUUAUUCAAUUAAAUAAAAUAUUUUGUGAGACAUGUUGGCUUUUUGCUGAUCGAUUAUACAGACAUUUUAAUGUAACAUGGAUUUCUGGAAUUGAUGAUUGGCAACACGCUUCACAAAAAAUUUAUGCACAUGAAAUUUCUGUACAACAUAAUAUUGAAGCUAUUAAAAUUAGAUAUAUUUGGGCAAAAAAUCAUGUAAUUGACAUGGAAUUAGAAAAUCAAAUUUCAAAUGAAGCAGUAUUUUGGAGAAUAAUCAAAAUUAUACUACACUUAACUGCUGGAAAUAAUGCACUUCGUGGUAACGAAAAAAAAUUUUGC
Melanaphis sacchari is the source of this 883-nucleotide long non-coding RNA. RefSeq lists it as uncharacterized. The record is from RefSeq and is a predicted model, not a curated record. The transcript has 3 exons. Lineage: Eukaryota; Metazoa; Arthropoda; Insecta; Hemiptera; Aphididae.